This 253-nucleotide ribosomal RNA is filed under the name uncultured bacterium. Its description in RNAcentral is "partial 16S ribosomal RNA". It matches the Rfam family "Bacterial small subunit ribosomal RNA", at positions 524 to 776 of the family's 1533-position model. The record is from RNAcentral.
UACGUAGGGCGCAAGCGUUAAUCGGAAUUACUGGGCGUAAAGCGUGCGCAGGCGGUUUUGUAAGUCUGUCGUGAAAUCCCCGGGCUCAACCUGGGAACUGCAUUUGUGACUGCAUCGCUGGAGUGCGGCAGAGGGGGAUGGAAUUCCGCGUGUAGCAGUGAAAUGCGUAGAGAUGUGGAGGAACACCGAUGGCGAAGGCAGCCCCCUGGGUCAAGAUUGACGCUCAUGCACGAAAGCGUGGGGAGCAAACAGG